This 391-nucleotide long non-coding RNA is filed under the name Homo sapiens (human). RNAcentral's name for it is "non-protein coding lnc-FEM1B-1:1". Lineage: Eukaryota; Metazoa; Chordata; Mammalia; Primates; Hominidae. The record is from RNAcentral.
GUGAAAAAGAGGUGAGAACGACCCCAGGACAGAUCAAAGCCACGCUCCCAGCGCCUAUGUCCCGCCGCCGUUGCCGCCACCACCGUGCCCAGGAGAAAGGCUGAAGGUGAUGCUAAAGGAGAUAAAACCAAGAUGAAGGACAAACCACAGAGAAGAUCCACGAGGUUUUCUGCUAAACCUGCUCCUCCAAAGCCAGAGCCCAAACCUAAAAAGGCCCCUGCAAAGAAGGGAGAGAAGGUACCAAAAGGGAAAAGGGAAAAGCUGAAGCUGGCAAGGAGGGGAAUAACCCUGCAGAAAAUGGAGAUGCCCAAACAGACCAGACACAGAAAGCUGAAGGUGCUGCAGAUGCCAAGUGAAGUGUGUGCAUUUUUGAUAACUGUGUACUUCUGGU